This 105-nucleotide non-coding RNA is filed under the name Cebus imitator (Panamanian white-faced capuchin). Lineage: Eukaryota; Metazoa; Chordata; Mammalia; Primates; Cebidae. The record is from RNAcentral.
AGCAGGUCCAAAAAUAGCAAGGUAUCUCAAUUGUUCACAGUCACAGAUCAAACUCUUUGUUCUACUCUUUUGCUCCUUCUCACUUCUGCACUUGACUAGUGUGUG